AGGGAUGUGAUAGAAUGUAGAAAGAAUCUUGAGACACAGUUAGAGGAUCUCUGCAUCAGAUCUUCACAAAGCAGUUUGAAUCUUCAAAAUUUAACGAAGUAGCUCAUCCUUUUCCCGUCGAUACAUUGAACAGGUGAGGAAAGUUCGCCUUGCGGAGGAUUCAAGAACUCGAGGGAUUGAAAAUCUGAAUAAAAACGAACUGGAUAAAUCUAAUGUCCAGAGAAAAUGGGUGUAUGAAGAAAUAGCCAGCAUUUCAUCAGAGAAGAGUAAAAAUCCUGCGUCGUCACCUCACACAAUUGUCGCUACCUUAACUGAAGUAGGAUCUAAUGCUGCACUUAACUUUCUGUUUGCAUUUUUCCGUCGCGUAUGGCAAUCAGGCGAAGAGGGGGUUGCCUGGUUUGAGAUGCUGAUUCACGCACUAGAAUCACAUCGCAGUUGACCUCUCGCGUCUAUCUUUCACCUUCUACAUCAAGUGGAUAAUAGCACAUAUGAC
Daphnia carinata is the source of this 493-nucleotide long non-coding RNA. RefSeq lists it as uncharacterized. The record is from RefSeq and is a predicted model, not a curated record. Lineage: Eukaryota; Metazoa; Arthropoda; Branchiopoda; Diplostraca; Daphniidae. The transcript is spliced from 3 exons.